AGUUAAAGGGUGGGGUUUAGGAUUUAGGGUUUAGAGUUUAGGGUUUAGGGUUUAGAUUUUAGGGUUUAGGGUUUAAGGUUUAGGGUUUAAGGUUUAGGGUUUAGAGUUUAGGGUUUAGGGUUUAGAGUUUAUGGUUUAGGGUUUUGAGUUUAGAGUUUAGGGUUUAGGGUUUAGAGUUUAGAAAUGAGGUUUUGGGGAUAAGAUUUCAAAUUUUGAAAAAUAAAAAAAUUAAAAUUUUCAAAGGAUAAACUUAGAAAUGUGCUAUUUUGGUCAUUUUAGUUUUUGAGUGCUAUUUUUGUGAUAUAAACUUAGAAAUGUGAUAUUUUGGAGAUUUGCCCAUUAUUUAAUUAGGCAAUUAUCUCCAAAAAAAACACUAAAGUGAGUUUUUUUUUUCACCACAAGAACACGCAACAAGAAAAAUGACCAAACGUAAAAUAAAUUUCUACUCUUAAUUUUUAGAAAUAUAAAUACAAAUAAUUAUUUAAAUAAAUAAUAAAAAUAA
Molecule: long non-coding RNA, 502 nt
Filed under: Brassica napus (rape)
Lineage: Eukaryota; Viridiplantae; Streptophyta; Magnoliopsida; Brassicales; Brassicaceae
Description: long non-coding RNA (BNAP_LNC014944)
Source: RNAcentral